UUUUUUUAAAUCUGGAAAAGUUGCGCCUGAGUGCAUGAGAUAGAAUAGAGAUCAGUUUGCUGUUUGUUUAUUAAAUACAUUGGGUUGUAGAAUCUUGGUAACCCCCAAAUGAUCAGGAAUCUAAUCGGUAAAAAAUGUGACUUUGGCCCCUUGAUUUAUAAAUGUGUCCAAAAGCGUUACAACAGGACUCACAAAGCUCCUAAAUUUCACUUUCGCAAACAAUGUAUCUGUGACUCCCGCUUGUCGUAUUUUAAAUUUACCAUCAUUCCAUAGCUCUGAGUUUCUGUGUGAGUCCAGGAUAUUUCCUCAAUAUAAACUAGCACACUGUGUUACUAUAUGUUGCAACCAGGAGACCUAUAGUUUGCAGACUAUAUGUCCGCAAACAGUACAGAAUAUUCACCUCACAGUUGCAACUGUUCAAUGCAGUCACAAUGCCCCUCACCAGUGCUCAUGCACUGCCUGUUUUUAGGAAGUAUCCAUUUCUAAGUGUUGUGUAUAUUUUAUAGGAACACUUAGUAUUUUUGAAACCUGAUUAACAUAAAAGCAAUUAGUUUUUAGGCAGACCCACAUAAGGUAUUAAAGGCCAACUGCCAAGGACACCCUGCUAGGCUCUGUAGAUGGAUAUAUUAAAAUCCAUAAAACAAUGUAUUGAAACCUAAGAAUUCUGCUGUUUUCGAAUUCUUUCCUCUGGUCCUUUUCGUCAGCGCCUGCUUCUCCAGCCCUUCCUUCAGUCCCUCUCAUCCUUCGGACCCUCCUCUCCCUUUAGUCCCCACCACACUGUCACUUGUGAAUUGUGACACUAGCACUGUCCCAUGACCUGCUACGUGACUGUUGUCUUCACAGUGGUCCUGCUCCUGUCAGUCAGAGUGUGUCAUUUCUCCACCUAAAACACUCUGGUGUCUCCACCUCGGUCUUGUGAAACUUCUGGAGUGUCAGGCAGGAUACCCUCUAAGGUUGGCUCUUAACAAGGAAGUGGAAACCUCUGUUCUAUCUGCAAGGAAGUGAAUUCAGACAAGAACCUGAAUGAGCUUGGAAGUGGAUUCUUCCCCAGAGUCUCAAGGAAAGAACGCAGACCUGCCCGUACGUUGAUAUUAGCCCUGUGAGACUGUGUGGACUUGCAACCGACACGACUGUGACAUGAUAAUUAGGUGCUGUUUAAAGCCACUUGGUUUGUGGUAA
Non-coding RNA from Macaca mulatta (Rhesus monkey), 1179 nucleotides. The record is from RefSeq and is a predicted model, not a curated record. Lineage: Eukaryota; Metazoa; Chordata; Mammalia; Primates; Cercopithecidae.